GUGGGGAAUAUUGGACAAUGGGGGGAACCCUGAUCCAGCCAUGCCGCGUGUGUGAAGAAGGCCUUUUGGUUGUAAAGCACUUUAAGCGAGGAGGAGGCUACCGAGAUUAAUACUCUUGGAUAGUGGACGUUACUCGCAGAAUAAGCACCGGCUAACUCUGUGCCAGCAGCCGCGGUAAUACAGAGGGUGCAAGCGUUAAUCGGAUUUACUGGGCGUAAAGCGCGCGUAGGUGGCCAAUUAAGUCAAAUGUGAAAUCCCCGAGCUUAACUUGGGAAUUGCAUUCGAUACUGGUUGGCUAGAGUAUGGGAGAGGAUGGUAGAAUUCCAGGUGUAGCGGUGAAAUGCGUAGAGAUCUGGAGGAAUACCGAUGGCGAAGGCAGCCAUCUGGCCUAAUACUGACACUGAGGUGCGAAAACAUGGGGAGCAAACAGGAUUAGAUACCCGAGUAGUCC
Molecule: ribosomal RNA, 451 nt
Filed under: uncultured bacterium
Lineage: Bacteria
Description: partial 16S ribosomal RNA
Rfam family: Bacterial small subunit ribosomal RNA
Source: RNAcentral